Molecule: ribosomal RNA, 253 nt
Filed under: uncultured bacterium
Lineage: Bacteria
Description: partial 16S ribosomal RNA
Rfam family: Bacterial small subunit ribosomal RNA
Source: RNAcentral
UACAUGGGGUGCAAACGUUGCUCGGAAUUAUUGGGCGUAAAGCGCACGUAGGUGGUCGCUUAAGUCGGAUGUGAAAGCCCUCGGCUCAACUGAGGAAGUGCAUCCGAAACUGAGUGGCUAGAGUAUGGAAGAGGGUCGCGGAAUUCCCGGUGUAGAAGUGAAAUUCGUAGAUAUCGGGAGGAACACCGGUGGCGAAGGCGGCGACCUGGGCCAAUACUGACACUGAGGUGCGAAAGCGUGGGGAGCAAACAGG